GGCAAGAUGGCCGAGCGGUUAAGGCGGAAGACUCAAGUGCAUUCUUGCCCGUGCAACGGGUCGUAUUCUUCUGGGGCAACCCGCGUGGGUUCGAAUCCCACUCUUGUCA
Molecule: non-coding RNA, 109 nt
Organism: Xylaria intraflava
Lineage: Eukaryota; Fungi; Ascomycota; Sordariomycetes; Xylariales; Xylariaceae
Source: the annotation of a GenBank genome assembly